RNAcentral lists this ribosomal RNA (483 nucleotides) under uncultured bacterium. RNAcentral's name for it is "partial 16S ribosomal RNA". It matches the Rfam family "Bacterial small subunit ribosomal RNA", at positions 30 to 506 of the family's 1533-position model. The record is from RNAcentral.
AUUGAACGCUGGCGGCAGGCCUAACACAUGCAAGUCGAGCGGAUGAAGGGAGCUUGCUCCUGGAUUCAGCGGCGGACGGGUGAGUAAUGCCUAGGAAUCUGCCUGGUAGUGGGGGAUAACGUCCGGAAACGGGCGCUAAUACCGCAUACGUCCUGAGGGAGAAAGUGGGGGAUCUUCGGACCUCACGCUAUCAGAUGAGCCUAGGUCGGAUUAGCUAGUUGGUGGGGUAAGGGCCUACCAAGGCGACGAUCCGUAACUGGUCUGAGAGGAGGAUCAGUCACACUGGAACGGGGAAACGGUCCAGACCCCUACGGGAGGCAGCAGUGGGGAAUAUUGGACAAUGGGCGAAAGCCUGAUCCAGCCAGGCCGCGUGUGUGAAGAAGGUCUUCGGAUGGUAAAGCACUUUAAGUUGGGAGGAAGGGCAGUAAGUUAAUACCUUGCUGUUUGGACGUUACCAACAGAAUAAGCACCGGCUAACUUCGU